Molecule: microRNA, 20 nt
Filed under: Cucumis melo (muskmelon)
Lineage: Eukaryota; Viridiplantae; Streptophyta; Magnoliopsida; Cucurbitales; Cucurbitaceae
Description: cme-miR530b
Gene: cme-miR530b
Source: miRBase by way of RNAcentral
UGCAUUUGCACCUACACCUU